GGCAAGCGGGAGGAGCCGGCGGCUCACGGGCGUCCAGAAGUGCCCAGCUGUACAGAAAAAGGCACAGGUGGCCUACACUGAGGCUCGGCACUCCCCCCGGGAGUGGGCGCAGGAAGCAGGAGGGCGUUGGGAGACCGCCCGCCUGCACCUGUUUCUCGUCUGGAUGGCGCCCGCACAGCAUGUCCACUCGGACACAUGCAGCCAACGGACACUCGCUUCACUCUUACGCUCCUCAGGACCGCACCCACUCAGGAGGCUGCCACUCCACCUGUGAAAUGAAGAAGCACAUGUGCAAGGACCUGAAGCACAUUGAGGAGUAGGGAAGACCUCAGCAUCUGCACUUGUGCAUAUGAAACACCCCAACAAGCAAGACUGGACCAAGGGCCAAGUGAAAGGGCUUGCUCUGCUUAGCCCAGUGUCAAUACCCCCUCGUCCAGAUCUGUUGCAGGCUUUCUUCCCAACCUCUUCCAGAGGCCUGUUGGGAUGACAGGCCAGGAGGGAAAGAAGAUUUCUUCUAUCUACGGAGUUAGAAAAACAAGUCUCUUUUGAAAGAAAGUUUCAAACUCAACAUGGGUGCACACUACCAAAGUAGGACAGAUGGGGACUGUCAAGGGGAGCGGCCUCUCAGUGACCAUGAGGCCAAGGGAGACUUCAGGUGGAGGGUGCGGUCAUGGGGAGGUACCAGGGCAGCAGGACCCUGACUUCAGACAGCUUCCCCGAGGGAAGCCCUGAAGUCUGGGUGAAAUCACUCAGGUCUGACUGGGACUGUCAGAAGGAGAGGUGGCAAAGUGUCCUAAGACUGUGUGUCCUCAGACAUGAUUUGUCCCCUACACUCACAGUCACAAGCAAUCGCUGGGACGGGCUCAGUGUGCCUUGAACACAUUCCUGCAGAUGAACAUGGUUUUGUGUAGACAAACAAGUAACCCCUGUUGCCUGUACCCAUUCAUUCCUGGGGCACAAAGACCAAGAGUUUGGACAGCAGAGGACCCCCCUGUCAUGUAAAUCUCUUUGCUUCCUGAUUAGGACAGUACAAAGGCAAUGUGCUCCCACUGCCGCACUGCUGGGUGUUCACAACACACGAUGCCCAUCACAGGAGGCAAGCCAUGUCUCCCCUCCCUCCCACGCCUCCUGAGAGAGGUCUCUGGGUGCCUCCAGUUCCCACCACCAGGGUUACUGACUG
Long non-coding RNA from Dama dama (fallow deer), 1180 nucleotides. RefSeq lists it as uncharacterized. Lineage: Eukaryota; Metazoa; Chordata; Mammalia; Artiodactyla; Cervidae. The transcript has 3 exons. The record is from RefSeq and is a predicted model, not a curated record.